GACGAACGCUGGCGGCGUGCUUAACACAUGCAAGUCGAACGGAAAGGCCCUGCUUUUGUGGGGUGCUCGAGUGGCGAACGGGUGAGUAACACGUGAGUAACCUGCCCUUGACUUUGGGAUAACUUCAGGAAACUGGGGCUAAUACCGGAUAGGAGCUCCUGCUGCAUGGUGGGGGUUGGAAAGUUUCGGCGGUUGGGGAUGGACUCGCGGCUUAUCAGCUUGUUGGUGGGGUAGUGGCUUACCAAGGCUUUGACGGGUAGCCGGCCUGAGAGGGUGACCGGCAACAUGGGGACUGAGAUACGGCCCAGACUCCUACGGGAGGCAGCAGUGGGGAAUAUUGCACAAUGGGCGGAAGCCUGAUGCAGCAACGCCGCGUGCGGGAUGACGGCCUUCGGGUUGUAAACCGCUUUCGCCUGUGACGAAGCGUGAGUGACGGUAAUGGGUAAAGAAGCACCGGCUAACUACGU
Molecule: ribosomal RNA, 467 nt
Filed under: uncultured bacterium
Lineage: Bacteria
Description: partial 16S ribosomal RNA
Rfam family: Bacterial small subunit ribosomal RNA
Source: RNAcentral